Long non-coding RNA from Epinephelus lanceolatus (giant grouper), 553 nucleotides. RefSeq lists it as uncharacterized. The record is from RefSeq and is a predicted model, not a curated record. Lineage: Eukaryota; Metazoa; Chordata; Actinopteri; Perciformes; Serranidae.
CAGACACCUCCUUCUUCCUGUGCUGAUGGCUGAGCGCGGCUUACGACGAACUGACAACAACCUGAGCGGAUACCUGGCGGUGAUCUCGGCUCUUUACGAGGCUGCUUCAGAAAGACGUCUGCAGGACGAGAUGUAAAGGGAGGUGAACUGGAGGGAAAUGGAAGCACGUGUAGUUUGUUGUGAGUUAUGAGGAAAGACACAAGGUGUUGGUGGAGGAGCAGCAGACUGGAAAGAGAAGAGGACUUCAAGAUGAGGAGAGAAAAUACUUAAGUAGCAGGUGGAGAACCACAGGGACGCAGGCAGAAGCAGCUCAGUCGCCUCUGGGACAAAGUAGAAGACAAGCAGAGGAUGUCGGACGAACUCAGAACUGCUCAAUGAACAAAGGGACUAAAAGGGCCUGAGAGUGACGAGUUGGAGCACAUGGAACAAACAUUUGACCGAAGCUCAAGAAGACCCAGCAUCAGAAGUCGCUGUCUUCUUCCACUGUUCUGUGUGUGUCCUGUACUCAUGUUUGAAACGCUUUUUCAUUAAUUAAAAAAACCUCACUGUUCCA